GGCCCAUUAGUGUAGAGGCUUAUCACGCCACCCUGUCACGGUGGAGAUCACGGGUUCGAAUCCCGUAUGGGUCG
Molecule: transfer RNA, 74 nt
Filed under: Synechococcus phage S-PM2
Lineage: Duplodnaviria; Heunggongvirae; Uroviricota; Caudoviricetes; Pantevenvirales; Kyanoviridae
Rfam family: tRNA
About the family: Transfer RNA (tRNA) molecules are approximately 80 nucleotides in length. Their secondary structure includes four short double-helical elements and three loops (D, anti-codon, and T loops). Further hydrogen bonds mediate the characteristic L-shaped molecular structure. tRNAs have two regions of fundamental functional importance: the anti-codon, which is responsible for specific mRNA codon recognition, and the 3' end, to which the tRNAs corresponding amino acid is attached (by aminoacyl-tRNA synthetases). tRNAs cope with the degeneracy of the genetic code in two manners: having more than one tRNA (with a specific anti-codon) for a particular amino acid; and 'wobble' base-pairing, i.e. permitting non-standard base-pairing at the 3rd anti-codon position.
Source: Rfam by way of RNAcentral